Long non-coding RNA from Solanum tuberosum (potato), 342 nucleotides. RefSeq lists it as uncharacterized. The record is from RefSeq and is a predicted model, not a curated record. NCBI's taxonomy places the organism in Eukaryota, Viridiplantae, Streptophyta, Magnoliopsida, Solanales, Solanaceae. The transcript has 2 exons.
AAGGUUUGGAGGCAUUGAGGAAAGGAAGGCAUUGGAGAAGUAGCUUGCCUGACGUCAGUUCUUCGGUGGAGCAAGUGUACCAUCGACUUCGACUCGCCCUCAGCUCUAGCCAGUCUCCAGCACAUCAGAUUUCAGGGUGAGCUAUUCCUUCUAGCUCGUGCUGGAUUCUCUCAGUUAUGGCGUGAUGUCCUUGAAUUUCGGACAUGGACCAUCGUAUUUACUUAUUUGGGGUCUCUAAUACUUUUUAGACUUGAUAUGUUAAGAACAGAUGUCCUUGUUGUGAUGACUUUCAGAUUUUGGGGAUAAUAUGUAAUAGACUUUAGAGGUUUAUUUGAUCGGUUA